UACGGAGGGUGCAAGCGUUAUCCGGAUUCACUGGGUUUAAAGGGUGCGUAGGAGGGCAGGUAAGUCAGUGGUGAAAUCUCCAAGCUCAACUUGGAAACUGCCGUUGAUACUAUCUGUCUUGAAUACCGUGGAGAUGAGCGGAAUAUGUCAUGUAGCGGUGAAAUGCUUAGAUAUGGCAUAGAACACCAAUUGCGAAGGCAGCUCGUUACACGAAUAUUGACACUGAUGCACGAAAGCGUGGGGAUCAAACAGG
This 253-nucleotide ribosomal RNA is filed under the name uncultured bacterium. RNAcentral's name for it is "partial 16S ribosomal RNA". It matches the Rfam family "Bacterial small subunit ribosomal RNA", at positions 524 to 776 of the family's 1533-position model. The record is from RNAcentral.